GUGCCAUGGCUUAGCUGGUUAAAGCACCUGCCUUGUAAGUAGGAGAGCCUGGGUUCAAAUCCCAGGGUACG
This 71-nucleotide transfer RNA is filed under the name Pelodiscus sinensis (Chinese soft-shelled turtle). It matches the Rfam family "tRNA". Rfam says of the family: Transfer RNA (tRNA) molecules are approximately 80 nucleotides in length. Their secondary structure includes four short double-helical elements and three loops (D, anti-codon, and T loops). Lineage: Eukaryota; Metazoa; Chordata; Testudines; Trionychidae. The record is from Rfam by way of RNAcentral.